RNAcentral lists this ribosomal RNA (468 nucleotides) under uncultured bacterium. RNAcentral's name for it is "partial 16S ribosomal RNA". It matches the Rfam family "Bacterial small subunit ribosomal RNA", at positions 28 to 507 of the family's 1533-position model. The record is from RNAcentral.
GACGAACGCUGGCGGCGUGCUUAACACAUGCAAGUCGAACGGAAAGGCCCUGCUUUUGUGGGGUGCUCGAGUGGCGAACGGGUGAGUAACACGUGAGUAACCUCCCCUUGACUUUGGGAUAACUUCAGGAAAAUGGGUCUAAUACCGGAUAGGAUCUCCUGAUGCAUGUGGGGGGUUGGAAAGUUUCGGCGGUUGGGGCUGGACUGGCGGCUUAUGCGCUUGUUGGUGGGGUAGUGGAUUACCAAGGCUUUGACGGGUAGCCGGCCUAGGAGGGUGACCGGCGACAUUGGGACUGCGAGAGGGCCCAGACGCCUAUGGGAGGCAGUAGGGGGGAAUAUUGCACAAUGGGCGGAAGCCUGAGGCAGCAACGCCGCGUGCGGGAUGACGGCCUUCUGGGUGUAAACCGCUUUCGCCUGUGACGAAGAGUGAGUGACGGUAAUGGGUAAAGAAGCACCGGCUAACUACGUG